GUUCUGGGAAGAGUGGUACCACUGCUGUCCACAGCCUACAACAUUUCAGAUAUGAGCACUUGGCAACAAAUCAGAUAAUGACGUGGCUGGAACGGCAUUGUUUAACUGCAACAUACCCUUUGAAGAUGCUCCCAAAGUGUACAGCACAACAAGGAAUAGUUUACAAAAGGUUUUUACCUGGAGGCCUUGAGUAAACACUUCCUCAGUCAGGAAAGUAGAUAGCAUCCUAACUACUGAUGCCCCCUAGAGGAAGAGACUCAGCAUUACCAGACAAACUACAUGGAGUCGACGACAAGGGGUGAGAUGAGGCCAAUGCAUCUAUGGCAAAAACUUUGUGCACAUCAUUAAGAACGAUCAAAUCUUUCUGUGGGAUAGGAAUAGAAGAGUUAGGAUUUCAUCUGCUCUUAGUGAUGGCUUUUUUCAUUUACCCUUUAUUGCUCUGGCUUUUGCU
Long non-coding RNA from Onychostoma macrolepis, 451 nucleotides. RefSeq lists it as uncharacterized. The transcript is spliced from 3 exons. The record is from RefSeq and is a predicted model, not a curated record. Lineage: Eukaryota; Metazoa; Chordata; Actinopteri; Cypriniformes; Cyprinidae.